Molecule: ribosomal RNA, 1346 nt
Filed under: uncultured bacterium
Lineage: Bacteria
Description: partial 16S ribosomal RNA
Rfam family: Bacterial small subunit ribosomal RNA
Source: RNAcentral
GACGAACGCUGGCGGCGUGCUUAACACAUGCAAGUCGAACGGAAAGGCCCUGCUUUUGUGGGGUGCUCGAGUGGCGAACGGGUGAGUAACACGUGAGUAACCUGCCCUUGACUUUGGGAUAACUUCAGGAAACUGGGGCUAAUACCGGAUAGGAGCUCCUACUGCAUGGUGGGGGUUGGAAAGUUUCGGCGGUUGGGGAUGGACUUGCGGCUUAUCAGCUUGUUGGUGGGGUAGUGGCUUACCAAGGCUUUGACGGGUAGCCGGCCUGAGAGGGUGACCGGCCACAUUGGGACUGAGAUACGGCCCAGACUCCUACGGGAGGCAGCAGUGGGGAAUAUUGCACAAUGGGCGGAAGCCUGAUGCAGCAACGCCGCGUGCGGGAUGACGGCCUUCGGGUUGUAAACCGCUUUCGCCUGUGACGAAGCGUGAGUGACGGUAAUGGGUAAAGAAGCACCGGCUAACUACGUGCCAGCAGCCGCGGUGAUACGUAGGGUGCGAGCGUUGUCCGGAUUUAUUGGGCGUAAAGGGCUCGUAGGUGGUUGAUCGCGUCGGAAGUGUAAUCUUGGGGCUUAACCCUGAGCGUGCUUUCGAUACGGGUUGACUUGAGGAAGGUAGGGGAGAAUGGAAUUCCUGGUGGAGCGGUGGAAUGCGCAGAUAUCAGGAGGAACACCAGUGGCGAAGGCGGUUCUCUGGGCCUUUCCUGACGCUGAGGAGCGAAAGCGUGGGGAGCGAACAGGCUUAGAUACCCUGGUAGUCCACGCUGUAAACGGUGGGUACUAGGCGUGGGGUCCAUUCCACGGGUUCCGUGCCGUAGCUAACGCUUUAAGUACCCCGCCUGGGGAGUACGGCCGCAAGGCUAAAACUCAAAGGAAUUGACGGGGCCCCGCACAAGCGGCGGAGCAUGCGGAUUAAUUCGAUGCAACGCGUAGAACCUUACCUGGGUUUGACAUGGAUCGGGAGUGCUCAGAGAUGGGUGUGCCUCUUUUGGGGUCGGUUCACAGGUGGUGCAUGGCUGUCGUCAGCUCGUGUCGUGAGAUGUUGGGUUAAGUCCCGCAACGAGCGCAACCCUUGUUCACUGUUGCCAGCACGUUAUGGUGGGGACUCAGUGGAGACCGCCGGGGUCAACUCGGAGGAAGGUGGGGAUGACGUCAAGUCAUCAUGCCCCUUAUGUCCAGGGCUUCACGCAUGCUACAAUGGCUGGUACAGAGAGUGGCGAGCCUGUGAGGGUGAGCGAAUCUCGGAAAGCCGGUCUCAGUUCGGAUUGGGGUCUGCAACUCGACCUCAUGAAGUCGGAGUCGCUAGUAAUCGCAGAUCAGCAACGCUGCGGUGAAUACGUUCCCGGGGCU